GCUCAACCGAGGAAGUGCUUCGAAAACUGGUAAACUUGAGUGCAGAAGAGGAAAGUGGAACUCCAUGUGUAGCGGUGGAAUGCGUAGAUAUAUGGAAGAACACCAGUGGCGAAGGCGGCUUUCUGGUCUGUAACUGACGCUGAGAUUCGAAAGCAUGGGUAGCAAACAGAAUUAGAUACCCUGGUAGUCCAUGCCGUAAACGAUGAGUGCUAAGUGUUGGAGGGUUUCCGCCCUUCAGUGCUGCAGCUAACGCAUUAAGCACUCCGCCUGGGGAGUACGAUCGCAAGAUUGAAACUCAAAGGAAUUGACGGGGGCCCGCACAAGCGGUGGAGCAUGUGGUUUAAUUCGAAGCAACGCGAAGAACCUUACCAGGUCUUGACAUACCAUGAAAAGCUUAGAGAUAAGUCUUUCCCUUCGGGGACAUGGAUACAGGUGGUGCAUGGUUGUCGUCAGCUCGUGUCGUGAGAUGUUGGGUUAAGUCCCGCAACGAGCGCAACCCUUAUUAUCAGUUGCCAGCAUUCAGUUGGGCACUCUGGUGAGACUGCCGGUGAUAAACCGGAGGAAGGUGGGGACGACGUCAAAUCAUCAUGCCCCUUAUGACCUGGGCUACACACGUGCUACAAUGGUCGGUACAACG
RNAcentral lists this ribosomal RNA (637 nucleotides) under uncultured bacterium. RNAcentral's name for it is "bacterial SSU rRNA". It matches the Rfam family "Bacterial small subunit ribosomal RNA", at positions 607 to 1244 of the family's 1533-position model. The record is from RNAcentral.